This 253-nucleotide ribosomal RNA is filed under the name uncultured bacterium. RNAcentral describes it as "partial 16S ribosomal RNA". It matches the Rfam family "Bacterial small subunit ribosomal RNA", at positions 524 to 776 of the family's 1533-position model. The record is from RNAcentral.
UACGUAGGGUGCGAGCGUUAAUCGGAAUUACUGGGCGUAAAGCGUGCGCAGGCGGUUUUGUAAGCCAGAUGUGAAAUCCCCGGGCUUAACCUGGGAAUUGCAUUUGUGACUGCACGGCUAGAGUGUGUCAGAGGGGGGUAGAAUUCCACGUGUAGCAGUGAAAUGCGUAGAGAUGUGGAGGAAUACCAAUGGCGAAGGCAGCCCCCUGGGUUAACACUGACGCUCAUGCACGAAAGCGUGGGGAGCAAACAGG